This 257-nucleotide ribosomal RNA is filed under the name uncultured bacterium. RNAcentral's name for it is "partial 16S ribosomal RNA". It matches the Rfam family "Bacterial small subunit ribosomal RNA", at positions 95 to 353 of the family's 1533-position model. The record is from RNAcentral.
GUGGCGGACGGGUGAGUAAUGUCUGGGAAACUGCCUGAUGGAGGGGGAUAACUACUGGAAACGGUAGCUAAUACCGCAUAACGUCGCAAGACCAAAGAGGGGGACCUUCGGGCCUCUUGCCAUCGGAUGUGCCCAGAUGGGAUUAGCUAGUAGGUGGGGUAACGGCUCACCUAGGCGACGAUCCCUAGCUGGUCUGAGAGGAUGACCAGCCACACUGGAACUGAGACACGGUCCAGACUCCUACGGGAGGCAGCAUG